This 52-nucleotide small RNA is filed under the name Ditibartonella apis. Its description in RNAcentral is "Bartonella apis ffh sRNA". It matches the Rfam family "ffh sRNA". Lineage: Bacteria; Pseudomonadati; Pseudomonadota; Alphaproteobacteria; Hyphomicrobiales; Bartonellaceae. The record is from Rfam by way of RNAcentral.
GAUCCCGGAGGUCAACAUCCGACAGCGCGAUGCGCCCUCGGGUGCGUGUUUC